GGGUCAACCGUGAGGUCAUUGAAACUGGGGACUGAGGCAGAAGAGAGAGCGAAUUCACGGUAGCGGUGAAUGCGAGAGAUGGGAGGAACACCAGGGGGAAGGGGCUCUUUGGUCUGAACUGACGGUGAGGCGGAAAGCGGGGGAGCGAACAGGAUUAGAUACCCUGGUAGUUCACGCCGUAAACGAUGAGUGCUAAGUGUUAGAGGGUUUUCGCCCUUUAGUGCUGCAGCAAACGCAUUAAGCAAUUCGCCUGGGGAGUACGGUUGCAAGACUGAAACUCAAAGGAAUUGACGGGGACCCGCACCAGCGGUGGAGCAUGUGGUUUAAUUUGAAGCAACGCGAAGAACCUUACCAGGUCUUGACAUCCUUUGCUACUUCUAGAGAUAGAAGGUUCCCUUUGGGGACAGAGUGACAGGUGGUGCAUGGUUGUUGUCAGCUUGUGUUGUGAGAUGUUGGGUUAAGUCCCGCAACGAGCGCAACCCUUGAUUUUAGUUGCCAGCAUUUAGUUGGGCACUUUAAGGUGACUGCCGGUGACAAACCGGAGGAAGGUGGGGAUGACGUCAAAUCAUCAUGCCCCUUAUGACCUGGGCUACCCACGUGGUACAAUGGAUGGUACAAAGGGCUGCAAAACCGCGAGGUUAAGCCAAUUCCAUAAAACCAUUUUCAGUUCGGAUUGUAGGCUGCAACUUGCCUACAUGAAGCCGGAAUCGCUUGUAAUCGCGGAUCAGCCUGCCGCGGUGAAUACGUUCCCGGGUUUUGGACACCCCGCCCGUCACCCCCCGAGAGUUUGUAACCCCCGAAGUCGGUGAGGUAACCUUUUGGAGCCAGCCGCCGAAGGUGACAGAUAUGU
RNAcentral lists this ribosomal RNA (850 nucleotides) under bacterium. RNAcentral describes it as "bacterial SSU rRNA". It matches the Rfam family "Bacterial small subunit ribosomal RNA", at positions 606 to 1476 of the family's 1533-position model. The record is from RNAcentral.